Long non-coding RNA from Ixodes scapularis (black-legged tick), 5416 nucleotides. RefSeq lists it as uncharacterized. The transcript has 3 exons. NCBI's taxonomy places the organism in Eukaryota, Metazoa, Arthropoda, Arachnida, Ixodida, Ixodidae. The record is from RefSeq and is a predicted model, not a curated record.
UCUCACAGUGGAAUUGUUACGUGCAUCAACAGACAUGCUCUCAUGGAUAAAAGAUGAGAUCGGGAAGGAUCGAGUCACGUCUCGAACGUCUCACUCCACGAACAAACAUUGUUUUUUAAUUCUCACCAUUACAGUUAGCUACAUACAAAUGUAACUCCUUUCCUGAUAAUAUUGUAACCAUCCAAGAACCCUCUGGUUUCACUUACUUAAACCCAUAACACCUGCUUUCUUGUUUUAUAUUUUUGUUUGUGUUUUGUAUAAUGUUGUACUUGCUCCCCCUACCCCUUAGGUAAAGCCCUAUGGGCGCUUUAAGGGUAUAAUAAAUGAUAUGAGCUACCUGCAGGCUUCUUAACAUGGAUGUCGGACAGCAUUUUCAUGGGAGCAGGCACCGUGAGCUUGGUUCCAGCACCGUCUCUCUUCGACAGCUUCACGGCUCACAUUUCCUGGCGGGCCGAGAGCUCAACAAUUGACAUAUUGACAGUAAGUGUUGAUGCGAACGACAUGCCACUGAGGGAGUCAUCGACAGUUGUGCCACGACGCCUGUGCUGCUCUGUGAGGCGGUUUCAGGGUAAAUUGCUUUGCUGGCUAUGAACAAUGUCGCACAACAACAAUGGCACAAGUCAAUGCGUCUUACAUGUAGUGUACAGUUCGUAAAGACAAACUGCAGCCUGACUGAAUGCGCAUUAUGUCUAACAGCCUGUAAAAUACAGCGUGAAACCACCUUCAGUACUAUAGCGAACUCUAUUAUCUAUAACACGGCAGCCAUGCUAUAACAAGGUUUUAACGUUUUUUAACAAAGCUUGUUGAUUUGGCUGCUGUGAUGUUGUUUGAGUUGUAACAGAGGAAGAAAACUGGAAUAUUCCUAUUUUCACCCUAUACUCACCUCAUCCAGUGAGUUCCCAAUAAUUUUGAGCAUAUUGCAAUGAAUUCCCCUCAGCUGCACCUUUUCGUUUACCUAUUCCGGUCAUGCGCACAAAAAUCGGCAGGAAUCAUCCUAACUCUGCCAGCACGCCUGCCAGUGUUUCCUGGAUAGUUUCUGUCCUGGGGGCUGGUGCACAGAAACAAUCCAACGGGUAAUGUAGCGCUCUUCCUGGCAGAUUGCGUGUGCUAGCCUAGAAAAUGCCUAUCACACGCUGAAAGCUGGUGCCGCCCCUCUCGUUGGUCUUGCCAUCACUGCGAAUGCCUUGUCUACCUCAGGAUCAGCAAGCUGGCAAUUCUGGAUGCUUUAUCAUAACUAUAAUACAGUUUUAAUACAGCUCGAUUUCCCCAUCACAUUCAAUAGGUAAUUUAAUAAUGUUUUACUUUGCAUGUCGUCGUUUUAAUACAGGUGCAAUUAUCAGUGAACUCAUUGACACUCUCCAUGUUGCAAAUUUCAAGCUGCGCCAGAAACAAUGAAUGAAUUUGCAAUACAACCAUCCAGAUUCAUCCAUGGAGGCUGCACUCGUCACUCUACGACUCUCAGCAUUCGAGUUAGGUCAUUAAGGUCAAUAAUAAGGGUCUUGGGGGGCAAGGUUUUACUGGGUCAAUUUGGGGGAAAAAAUGGUACUGCCAUGCAUAAACAAUGAAAAGUCUUGGAUUGUAGUAUCAAAUACUGAUCUGGCAGAUUAAUAUUAUAGCGUGCCCUGUUAAUCCCCCGUAAGGUGGCCAGUUGUCGGGUUUCGCAUCGGGUCGAAUUGCGAGUUAUUUUGUUAUUUUGGGUUAUUUUGAAAUCAAGUUGCAUAGAAAACUGAUUGCCAGUUUGAGAGGGCACUGUCCUACAAAUACUCCAAUUCUGAUGUAUGGAACCUGAGUGACUUGGGUGGCUCAAGUUCCAUACAUCAGAGUCCCGAGGUUUUCUGGGAUAGUCCACCCUCAGCUACCGUACACACUUUUGUAUUGCACAAAGCUACCGUACAAGCUUUUUCAGCCCAAGCGACAUAUGUCGAUCAGGUUUGCAAAAGCGUGUACUGAUACUGAAAAUUUCUAGCAGAAUUCAACCACGUGAAUUGCGCAUAACAAGUCGCUGGUAGCCACCGGUAAAUGAUCAUCUCCUUGUAUUCACUGUUUACAUUGAGCAAUUACACAAGCAAUUAUGUUCCGACGGCGUCAGUUUUUUUCUUUCCGCAGAACCUAUCCACAUUCUUCGACGAGCCGGGCAGGCAGAAAACAUGGGAAACCUACCGUGGCAUCUUUCCCGCCCCUUCUGGUGCAUCCCUAGUCGUGGCUUUUUGACAAGGCAGAUUUUAGUCUGCUUUCUUCCAACACAACACGAGAAUGCCCGUCUCACAUGGCGACUUCCACCCACACCCGACCGGAAGUGUGCCCGAAGCACCACCGCCGUGACGUGACGUAACAGUGUUGAGCUGGUGCGUGCACUUGUGUAAAAAACGUUUGUAUUGUUUGUCAUUUACUGUAUUUAUUCAUUGGUCUUCUAUCUUCUCUGAGAAACCUUCGACUAGCAUUCAUACUGCAGGUAACUGGUGUACCGGAUCCUUUAUUGCAAUUGAAUGCCCGGCCAACAAGGUCCGGUCGAUUUGUGAACCAGUGCCAUUACCCCUCACUAGCACUUAAAGCCAUCUGUGACUGCAACAAGCGGUUUCUGGAUAUAACCGGGGGACAUUCAAAUAAGGUUCAUGACGCUAGGGUAUUUAGGACUUACAGCAUCGUGAACAAGCUCUCGCAAAUCUGCCGUAGGGGCCAGUACCACAUCCUGGGUGACGCGGCCUACCCUUUGAGAGAGUACCUGAUGACUCCUUUCAGAAACUAUGGGUCCCUCACUAAAAGAAGAAGGACAUCAAUGGGAAGUUCUCAAGUACACGCGUGCUCAUCGAAAUGUGUUUGCUGAUCUGAAAAAAAGUUUCAGGCAGCUGAAGCUAUGCGAGUUCUUUACUGUUGAUCAUGCAACAAGGUUCAUCACUGCCAUGUUGCAUCCUCCAUAAGAUCUGCAUUGAGGCCGGAGAAGGUGAUGUUGUCCAGGUGCCAGAGGACGAGGCCAGCAGCGUCCCAGACAAUGAAUCGCUGGAGGAGUUUGGGCUACUGAUGGCUUUAGAUUCUGUUCUCCACAUACUGGCGGAAGAAAAGAGGGACAGGGUGAUUGCCCAAAUGGGGCUGAGAAAAGCCCCAUUUGCCGAGAUAAGCCCUCGGCCGGUUUGCUAGAGCAGUGUCUCGGCUGAGGCUGGGUGAAAGAAAGCACUGCACUUCUCAAGCAUCUUGAGAAGCGGCUCGAGGACGUAAGACGACAUAUCGCACACUUUUGGCACUGCGGGUCGCCCCUGUAGGUGGAGGAGGUUUCCGCUUCGUCUGGUUAAAAUAUGGCGCACUGAUAUUUAGUUACUCUCUCCGUGCUCGCUGGCUUGCCCUAACCCCAAGAGACGUGGAAACCGCAAAGAGGUAGAUGCUUAAAUACGGUUGCAAGGCUCCUUUAAGGCCAAUUUCUCCAAACUUCUUCAUUAUCCUACGAGGAAAACUGAAUUUACAUGGUUUCUAUAGGUCACGAAGACAGAGGGGAUGAUUUGGAAGUGACGAAUGUACCUUUAUUUUUAACAGCAAGUUGUACCUCCUUGCCGAGAGCCUGGUUCUGUUCUGGAUUAUAACAUAGAUAUGGGUAGCUCUGCGCUUCCAUGAAUAUUUACGGUGCUACCCAAUAGUAGACUUCAGCAGAACUUGCCAGAUUGUCACGAAUCGGGACUUAAAGGAGCAAACAACCAAGAAAUCUUUUCUUUACAUUUAGUGUGCAAAUAUUCGGUUUUGAAUAUUUAGUGUAUUGUUGCGUGUCACUUGGAAACCUGGCAACAUGAAUAGGUUAAUAAAUCUCCAUCUUGUGAUAUGACCAAUAUUAAUGCCCAACUCUAUUUUAAUGUAGGAGAGUCAUGUGCAAGUAAUUUUAUUGGGUGGUCCGUCAUCCAUAAGCUUACAAAACUGUGGGUACAUCCUGGGUUCCAAUUGGUAAUGCAGGAUAUGUGAGCUAAUGAACAUCUUCUCCUGCUGCUGCUUCUUCAGUGUAGGAUGGACAAGCCAUUUGCAGUUAUCAAAUUUCCGGACAAGGAAGACUGCCUGGCAGUCAUGCCAGUGACCUGGCUUUCAAAACUAAGACGUGUUUGCCUGGCCACUGCAUAUUAAGGGGUCCAGGGUGUCCUCCAUGGUGGAAUAGGAGGUGCCACCAGGCAUCAUUGGUAGUGGGUGAGAGAUGUUCCCAUGUACUGUCAUCAUUUUACAGUAUUUAUUUUGUACCUUUUUUCUCUGGAUGAUUUUGUGAAGACGAUUAAGUUCUACCCAUCCAAAAAUUAGUAAUUGUGAGGACUUUUUUGAUAUUGUUCAGGACAUUUGCAGUAAAUGCAAUCUAAUUUAUAGUUUCUAAAGUCCCUAUACUCAUUGAUGACACAACUAAAAACAUUUUGCACGUAUUACAAUGGAGAGGAGGUGAACAAGCAGCACAAAAUAACCAGAAACUACCGAUUUGUUCGUGCUUUUGUGCCUACGUAACAAUGUUGCCAGUACUUCGCAGUCUGCAUUUUUCACGAAUGGUAAACAUUGAGAUUGUCGAAGUUAUGCUGUUAUGAUUACGGUUCUGCGUUUUCGGUUUUUAUUUUUCUUGAAUUCGGCAUACUUUUUUCGGUUUUCAUUGAAAUUUUUCGGCUUUUGACAAGGAGAAUAUAUAUACAAGCGAAACUUUAGCGUCUUUUCUUUUCUGUGAAUAUGUAUUGACCUCACACUUUUCUAGCUUGUUUGUCCAAACUUAAUUAUUGCACGCCGCACGGCAGCACUUGCAGAUAUGAGAAGCAGAUUCGCGGCUUUUUCUUAUUAGGUGCCCCCUUUCAGAAAAAUAUCUAUGAUAUACACUACAACAAUCCAAGCACAAUAUUAAGAAAAGGACAGGAGACAAUUGGCAUACAAAAACUGGAUCACGAAGGCGAAAAAUUCUAUCCAGACGACAAACGAAGCUAAACACCCUAAAUGCCAACAGAGCACUUCGCUGUCAUGUAGACAAGCUGACUAUAGUCAUGUGCCGACAAAUACCCCCCCUCCCUCCCUCCGUUGCCAUUCCCAACUUUGCAUGCAAUGCCGCUCUAAAAUACUUGCCUUUUCGGUUAAAACCGAAUGUCGGAAAAGGAAUCCAGCAUACUUCACCGGUUCUUAUUGGGUGAAACUGAAAACAAUGAACCCUGAUAUUGGUGUGUUCUAAUAUUUGCUUUCAGGGACCUAUCAAAAGGCACUGAAAAAGACAAAAAGACUGGUCAACAGCUCAACCGUAGAAACGGAGGUUUCGGCCCAUGAGGAAGAGGCACAUCCAGCAUUUGGAGUGCCGUCACCAUGAACAGCUUUCCAAAGACCUGCUUUCACAGCUGCCUUCUGCGGGUUGCACAGAUAGCAGUUGAGACCGCAACUGGGAAGGCUGUGCGAAGACAUUUAGACUUUACGGCUCAUUCCACAACGUAUC